CCUACGGGGGGCAGCAGUGAGGAAUAUUGGUCAAUGGACGAGAGUCUGAACCAGCCAAGUAGCGUGAAGGAUGACUGCCCUAUGGGUUGUAAACUUCUUUUAUAUGGGAAUAAAAUGGUCCACGUGUGGGAUUUUGUAUGUACCAUAUGAAUAAGGAUCGGCUAACUUCGUGCCAGCAGCCGCGGUAAUACGGAGGAUCCGAGCGUUAUCCGGAUUUAUUGGGUUUAAAGGGAGCGUAGGUGGAUUGUUAAGUCAGUUGUGAAAGUUUGCGGCUCAACCGUAAAAUUGCAGUUGAAACUGGCAGUCUUGAGUACAGUAGAGGUGGGCGGAAUUCGUGGUGUAGCGGUGAAAUGCUCAGAUAUCACGAAGAACUCCGAUUGCGAAGGCAGUUCACUGGACUGCAACUGACACUGAGGCUCGAAAGUGUGGGUAUCAAACAGGAUUAGAUACCCGAGUAGUC
Molecule: ribosomal RNA, 460 nt
Filed under: uncultured bacterium
Lineage: Bacteria
Description: partial 16S ribosomal RNA
Rfam family: Bacterial small subunit ribosomal RNA
Source: RNAcentral